This 498-nucleotide ribosomal RNA is filed under the name uncultured bacterium. RNAcentral's name for it is "partial 16S ribosomal RNA". It matches the Rfam family "Bacterial small subunit ribosomal RNA", at positions 28 to 506 of the family's 1533-position model. The record is from RNAcentral.
GACGAACGCUGGCGGCGUGCCUAAUACAUGCAAGUCGAGCGAAGUUUUUCUGGUGCUUGCCCUAGAAAAACUUAGCGGCGAACGGGUGAGUAACACGUAAAGAACCUGCCUCAUAGACUGGGACAACUAUUGGAAACGAUAGCUAAUACCGGAUAACAGUAUUUCUCGCAUGAGAGAUAUUUAAAAGUUGGUUAUGCUAACACUAUGAGAUGGCUUUGCGGUGCAUUAGCUAGUUGGUGGGGUAAAGGCCCACCAAGGCGACGAUGCAUAGCCGACCUGAGGGGGGGAUCGCCCCACGUGGGAGUGAGAACCGGCCCAGACCCCUAGGGGGGGCAGGAGGAGGGAAUUUUCCGCAAGGGGCGAAAGCCUGACGGAGCAACGCCGGGGGGGUGAAAAAGGAUUUCGGUUGGUAAAGCCUUGUUGUUAGGGAAGAAUGGAUUUGUAGUAACUAUACAUGUAAGGGACGGUACCGAACCAGAAAGCCACGGCCAACUACGG